This is a non-coding RNA of Salvelinus sp. IW2-2015, 542 nucleotides long. The record is from the annotation of a RefSeq genome assembly. NCBI's taxonomy places the organism in Eukaryota, Metazoa, Chordata, Actinopteri, Salmoniformes, Salmonidae.
GUGCUGUGUGUUAUCAUUUUAACUUCCAGUUUCAGCCACAAUGUCAAUCCCCACAUUUAUUUUGCUUUUAGUAGUCGCAUGUGACAGUAAUGGUCAGACCAUUGAGCCAAUCAGAGAGGAGGUGUCUGCACCAGCGGGUAGCAAUAUUACACUUUCAUGCACCUACUCAUCUGCAGUCUCUCUUCAAUGGUAUCGCCAGGACCCUGGAUCACCUCCUCAGUAUAUCCUGCUUAUCCUGCAUGCUGUUGGGUCUCCAUCACUGGCACCAGGUCUGGAUCCUCGACUGUCAGUCAAACUGAAUGAUGAGAAGAACCGUGUGGAUCUGGAGAUCUCCUCUGCUAAAGAGAAAGACUCUGCUAUGUACUACUGUGCACUGACGCCCACAGUGAAAGGAAACCUACAAACGCUGUACAAAAACCUAACCUGACACAUUCUAUAUGUACAUGACAUGACCUACAGGAGAUGGUACAUCUCAAGGUUUUUCUUUUUGACAGGAAACCUGGUGGGGGUGUUUAAGAACCUAUGUAAAGAGGAGGAGUAAC